GACGAACGCUGGCGGCGUGCUUAACACAUGCAAGUCGAACGGAAAGGCCCCUUUGGGGGUACUCGAGUGGCGAACGGGUGAGUAACACGUGAGUAACCUGCCCUUGACUUCGGGAUAACUUCAGGAAACUGGGGCUAAUACCGGAUAGGAAUCCUUGCUGCAUGGUGGGGGUUGGAAAGCUUCGGCGGUUUUGGAUGGACUCGCGGCUUAUCAGCUUGUUGGUGGGGUAGUGGCUUACCAAGGCUUUGACGGGUAGCCGGCCUGAGAGGGCGACCGGCCACAUAGGGACUGAGAUACGGCCCAGACUCCUACGGGAGGCAGCAGUGGGGAAUAUUGCACAAUGGGCGGAAGCCUGAUGCAGCAACGCCGCGGGCGGGAUGACGGCCUUCGGGUUGUAAACCGCUUUCAGCAGGGGCGAAGCUUGUGGUGACGGUACCUGCAGAAGAAGCACCGGCUAACUACGUG
Molecule: ribosomal RNA, 465 nt
Filed under: uncultured bacterium
Lineage: Bacteria
Description: partial 16S ribosomal RNA
Rfam family: Bacterial small subunit ribosomal RNA
Source: RNAcentral